AAGCAGUGAUAGGAAAUAUUUGCUUCAGACUUUUGCUCUGCAAUAUUCUAUAAGUGCUCAGGCUUAUUAUCAAGGAGUAAAGGUCAGAGGAGAGACACUGGUUCGCUCCUCCGCAGGAAGGGGCCUGUGAUCAUUGACCUCAGUACCCAUUUGCCAUUGUUCCAGAACACUCCACGGAGGCUGGAGCCCCAGGCUCCGCUUUACCUGAGUGUGAACCGAUUUGUGCUCUUAUAUUCUCCCUUGCUUUUCUUUUUUUCUUUUUUGUUUUAAAAAUUUUUUAUUGUUGGCUGUUCAAAACAUUACAUAGUUCUUGAUAUAUCAUAUUUCACACUUUGAUUCAAGUGGGUUAUGAGCUCCCAUUUUUACCCCAUAUACAGAUUGCAGAAUCACAUCAGUUACACAUCCAUUGAUUUACAUAUUGCCAUACUAGUGUCUGUUGUGUUCUGCUGCCUUUCCUAUCCUCUACUAUCCCCCCUCCCCCCCCUCCCCUCCCCUCCCCUCCCCAUGCAAUGGAGGAAGGAUAGCAUCUCCCUUGCUUUUCAAGUUUUGCAAGAAGGGACGAGCCCAGGCUGGAAUUUAAGAAAUUGACCUUUGAAGGUAAAAGCUCUCCUGAGAACAUGCUGAUUAAAAAUUUUAACUAUCCAUCAAACGGUGACAGGCUCAGCUUUCUUCCCAAGACAGAUCUGGCGGGGCAAGGGGACGUGGCUUCCUCAGCUGACACACGGGCUCAGCUUCCUGGUUUUCUUUUCUUUAGUUUUUUUUUUUGUACUGGGCAUCAAACCCAGGUCAAGCUGCUGCAUGUUCUAAACUCAUGCUCCCAAUUCCUCAUUUUUUUCUAAAGAAUCAAGGCCACUUGUCUCAAGGUCCACAGGUCCCCUCCUGAAGCCCGUCCCAGUCCCUCCAUUCACAGCCCAUGUGAUGGCGAGCACCCCUCUGGCUCUCUGGGCCUAGCUCCAUUCUGAAAGUAAAUCAGUAAAGAGACGCUCGCUGUAAGAACAGGAGCCAGGAUGUAAGCAAGUGGGCACGGGUUUUCUCACAUAACAAAAGAUCUAGAAGCAGGACGAUCCAGCAGUUGGUUCAGUAACAUCUGAUGUCCCAGGUUCUUUAGGUCCCUUGGCCUCGCCAUCUUUAAUAAUCAGCUUUGGGGCAUGGGCAUUGUAGCCUCGAGCUAGAGCACUCGCCUAGCAUGCGUGAGAACCUGGGUUCUACCCGAGCACUGCAAUACUAAGCAAGCAAACAAACAAACAUUGGCUUUCAGGCCUUUGCUUCUCACUGAAUGGCCGCAAAAUGACUGCCAUCGUCUGGGUGUCACACUACAUUUGAGGCAGGCAGAAGGAAGAAACCCCUUCUCGCCCAUGUUUACAGUUGCUGUUUACUGAGCACUUACUGUGUGCCAGCCGCCUUCCCACACACAGACCCUUCUUACCAUGCUACAAGCUAAAUUGUCCCCAAAUUACUGACCAAGAAACAGAGGACCUGGAAGAUGAAGAAAUUGACCAUAUCAAGUUUCUACUGUGGUAACGAAUUACUGCAGAUUUAGUGGCCUGAGGUGACAUGUGCUUAUUAUCUGACAGUCCUGGAAAUUAGAGUCUACAAGAUGGGAGGCCCAGCUGGCUCCUUCGGGAGGCUCCAGGGAGGAUAUGUGCUGGCCUGUUCCUGGAGGGCGGCAUUUUGUGGCUCCCCUCAGCAGAUCCCUCCUCUGCUUCUGCCCCUCCCGCCUCUUAUUUAUGUAUUUAUUUAUGUAUGAGACAGGCUCUUGCUGAGUUGCUUAGGGCCUUGCUAAAUUGCUGAGGCUGGCCUGGAAUUUGCCAUCCUCCUGCCUUAGCCUCAGGAGUCGCUGGGAUUACAGGUUGCGCCCACCCGGGGCUUGACCACCCUUUGUGCCUUAAGACUCCCUGCCGCCUCUGGGCUCACCUGGGUAAUUAAGGAGACCUUGAGCUUGACCCCUGCACCUGCCCCGCAUUUGCCACUGGAGGCUGCAUAUUAGCAGUUCCUGGGAUCAGGUCGGGUUUUCCCCGGGGGCUGCUCUUCACUCUCAGGUUAAUGUGUAGGGAGGGGGUGCAUGCAGGCCCUCCUCCCCCCCACCCCACCCUACCCUGGGGCUCCUGGGCUGCGGAGGCAGCUUUCCCUCCAGUCCCCACCUCUCCAGCCUGGGCCUCUGGGCGCCGGUCCCUGGAAUGUCACUCAUUUCCUUUGGACUGCGGCCCGUGGACACCCUUCCAGGGGCUUCCCUCCCCCUCAGCUGCCCUGGACACGAUUGGUUCCCAGAACUUUGGUCGGGGGCCCCAGGUCAGAACCACAGCUGGGCCGUGGCACCAGAUCCAGGGCUCCAGAGCACCUCUGGAUUGGCAGCUGGCGGUGAACAGGGAAAGAGACCCACUUCCCGCCUCCCGGCCGUGCAGAAGCUGCUCUCUGCCCCGCGCAGAAGUUCACCGCUAUCCCACACCGCAGACCUCAGUCCGUGAUCCUUCAGUUUCUCUAACAUUUGCCCCUCCCAUGAGCACCCCUGCUUCUAAGUCUCCCCUCUUUCAAACCCCCAGGCGACCCAUCCAGCCUGAACCCUCCAUCUUGCAGCCUCUCCUGUUAAGAACAAAGCACAAAGAAGCCUCUGGGAGGAGAGGUCAAGUGUGGAUCCCGCAGCCUGACCACCCACACCCUUUAAGUGGCCCUGCCUUUGCUGGCUGUGUGAUCUUGGGGAAGGUGCUUGCCCUUUCUGUGCCUCAGUUUCCUUAUUUGUUAGAUGGGGACAGCAGUGCUACUGUAGCCACCUCCCGUCAUCACCAUGGGAAUAAAAUGAAUUUAUGUUUUCAAAGUGCUUAGAACAGGGUGUGUAGCACACGCUUUAGAAACUAAUAAGAUAAAAAUACAUUUUUGCUUCUUUGGCUUCCGCCCAUGACGUCCCUGUUUGCAGCUUGCGCUCCUCCUUCUCUCCGGGCUGUGGGCGGAGCUUCUCUGCCAGCUGAAGACAGUCCCUUUCUGCAUGCAGGCCCCCCUCCUCCCCAGAGGGAAGUGGGAAGCUCCGUCUGUCUGUUCCCGAGGGCUGCUUCCUGUCCCCACCUCUCUGCCCAGGCAGCGGGUCACGGCACCUGGUCCACAGCCCAUAAACCCAGUGACCGCGUCUCUGUCCUUAUGGGGCUGCACCCCUUCCCUGAAGCCCUCCCCUCUCUGGGCUGUUUAGUUUCUUAUUUCCGUGGCUGAGCUGUCCUCUCUCUCCCUCUCUCCUGCCCCUGGUUUUAGGUUGGACUCCUCUGUCCCCCGGUCCACUCUCCCUAUGUCCUAUCCCCACAACCUGGGCGGUGACCUGAUUUGGAAACAGGGUUGAUGUUGAUGUCAUCAGUCAGGGUGAGGUCACAGUGCAGCGGGGUGGCUGGUGUCCUUGCAUGAGGAGCCCACAGACGCCCAGGGAGGACCGCGCGAUGCAGACACAGAGGGACCUGGCAGUGACGGCUGCCAGAAGGAGCCCAGUGGCCACAGCCCCCCAAAGCCCCUGAGAGGCGAGCAGCUGGUCCUGCCUGCCGACACCCUGACCCUGGACCUCAGCCUCCAGAACGGCCAGGUUUUUGUUGUUCUGAGUCACCCCGUUUGGGGGCACCUCGUCACGGCAGCCCCUUUCCCGCCGCAGAUGUGCAAUUGGAGGGUACGGAGCAGGCGUCAUUCUCCCGCCCCUAAAUACGUCCGGGUUUACCUCCUAAAAAUAAAGGCUUUCUUUACACAACCAGGUGGUUAUCAAAUUCAGGAAAUGCAGCCGGCGCAGUGGCACUCGCCUGUGAUCUGGGCAACUCAGGAGGCUGAGGCAGGAGGCUCUCAAGUUCAAAGCCAACCUCAGGAACUUAGCGAGGCCCCAGCAACUCAGGGAGACCCUGUCUCUAAAUAAAAUACAAAAAAGGGCUGGGGAUGGGGCUCAGUGGCGAAGAGCUCCUGGGUUCAAACCCCAAUACCCACCCCCCAGAUCAGGAAGUGACGUUGGAGCCACACCGUUUCCUAUCCACCGUCCAUGCUCAGCAUCACCUUCUACCCUCACUGGGAACCUCAUGCUGGGCUCUGACUGUUCCAAUAACUUAAGAAAACAGCCAAGAAAGCAUACAAACACACAGAAGUGCCUUUUCAAAACCCAAGGAUAGCUCUGCAACCUUAGGGGUCCCUGGAAAGAGAAAGCCACUGGAAUUCUUGAUUCUUAUAUAGGAGACACAAGGGCAGGUUCCAUGGAACAUUCUAUCCCCAAAAGGAUUACAAAGGAACAGGUGAGUGGAGCUCAACCCCAUGGGGGACGCCUGCUCCUGGAGCCGCCUCCUAUCCCAGGGGGUAAAGCCCAGGUGACUGCGGGGCGCAGUGAUUGUCCAGCACCCGGUGUAUCAGGACCUAAAGGUGUCUGCAGCCAGGGUAGCUCCCGACAGCUGUCCCUGUCGCGUCUAGUAGCCCUAACAAAUGACCUCAGCUUGUAAACAACAAGCACUCUUUCUUGCAGCUCCAGAGGCUGAAGUGAUGAUAGGGCACGACAGACCUGGGGUCCGAGGAGGACACUCUUAGCCGAUGCCCUCUGGCCGCGUCCUCAUGUGGAGGGGCCAGGAGUUCCCUGAGGCCUUUGGUGAGGGCACAGCCCCAACACAAGGGGUGCUUCCUCUGGCCCUGUCACCUCCAGGGGCCCCCUCCUGCCUCCGUCUCAUGGGGAUUAGGUUUCAACACAGGAGUUUUUGUGGGACAGAGACCUCUGGGCCACAGUGAUGUCCCUUGGGCACUUCCAUUCCCUCCCACAGGACGGGCUUUCUUCAGGAUCAUGGGUGGCACUGGGGCCACAUCCUCCUCGUCCCCUUCUGGAUGGCCGCCAGGCCCCUCCACCAGGAAGCUGCUACUCUGCCCUUGGAAACCGCUCUCCUUGCUGCUAUGUGACAGGGUCGGUCGUACUGGACUCGUGGCUUUGUUAUUUCAACCAUGUCCUGAGAAUGUCAGCAUCUCUGACGUGGGGAAGGAGUCUCAUCAGCGCUCAGAGAUCUUCCUCUCCACUUUCUUGAGCAGGUACAAACAUUCCAGUGCGCAGACGCAGCAGGGCACGCUAACACUGUCCUGCAGAGGGUGGUCCCCACCUACCCCUACGGGGUCAGCCCUCCUACCCAAGGUGUUGCUUUCUGAAAUUUUAGUUGCCCUUGGUUCGAUGUAGUCCAGAAGCAUGACAUGGAAAGUUCCAGAAGUGAUCAAUUCAUUUGCUGGAAACAAUCUCCUGUCAGAGUAGGUUGUGAUAUUGUUCUAUGUUUGGUUUUUAUCUAUUUAUUUAUUUAUUUUCUGUGGUGCUGGGGGUUGAACUUGGGGCCUGUGUUUCUGGGGCACGCCCUCUCCCAACUGAGCUGUUUCCCCAGCCUGGUUGAUAUCUUUUCCAGGCUGGGGAUUGAACCCAGGGCCUUGCACGUGCUAGAGAACCUCUUCCCGGGCUACAUCCCCAGCCCUACGCUGUUUACUACUAAUAAAAUAAUAGUCUAUUAUUAGUGACUGGUGCCGAUCUGCUGUGCCUGAUUUCUCAGUGGAGCUGUUCUAGGUGCAUCAUGUAGGGAGGCCCGGGCUGUGUGCUCAGGCUUCAUGCUGUCCGCCGUCUUGGACGCCGUGGAACGUCUUGGACGCCAUGGAACGUCUUGGAACUUACC
RNAcentral lists this long non-coding RNA (5633 nucleotides) under Marmota monax (woodchuck). The record is from RNAcentral. Lineage: Eukaryota; Metazoa; Chordata; Mammalia; Rodentia; Sciuridae.